AAAAAAUGUUCGAUCUACAGCACUGCAUGUCAAUCUGCGCUCAUAUCGAAGUUUUUCAAGGUCAAAAUUGCAACAACACACACCACAUACAUCCACAAGCUCAAAGUUGCUAGCAUGCAGUUAAAUCAGAUUCAAGAUAGAAUAAAGUGUCUGUAGCUAGCUAAGCUAUGUUAAAACUAAGUAAGUCAUUUAAAAUAUAUAGCAUGUAAAUUAAUUUUUUAGCCAAAUUAACAAGAGGUAAUACAACAUACAUAAGACGGAGAAACCAAGUAACAUUUACCUUCCAAAAUUAAAAAGAGAGUUGCCAUCAAACAUUUACCUUAACAAUAUCACCCACUGACAUCUAGAAAGAUAAUAUGAAUGUAUAUAUAGGUUGACAAAUUAAGUGCAACCCAAAAGGAAAUAAUAAAGAUAUAUAAAUGGAUGAAUAAUAUACAAUUUUCAGUAUGACAUGACUUUGCUUGGUAUCAUAACAUUACUACGUACGUACCCCAUUUCAAAUGAAACAAACACAAGAAUUAUGAUUUAUAGUUAUAGGAAUCAUGCAUGGUAAUCCCAAUUGAUGUGUUGCUUAGAUCAACCCUUUUACCACAUACGAAUUGAAAUUUAUCACAUGAUCUCUGUUUGAUUUCAGCAGUUGGGUCAUAUUUUCCAACAAUGUUUGCCACAUGAAACUGAAGUGAAAUUCUUCCACCAAGCAGCAAUAAAUAAAUAACACAUGCAGCUUCAUAAUAGUGAGUGAUACUCAAUACUCCAUCUUGGUGUAUCCCAUGUUUGUUAAGGACUUCCUUAUAAAAUUCCAAACAUCAAAAUGUUAAGAAAUUGCAAUAAUCAAUAUAAAGGCACACUCCAGGCAUCGAUUCUUCAAUCUGCUCAAGAGAAAACAUUCUUUUAAGAAUCAUUACAAGAAAAAUUGUCUCUUCAAGAUUACUUAUGGGCACAUCUGACCAUCAAUCUGAAAUGCCAAGCUUGUUUGAUUUGCCUUUACACCUAUGUGCAGCCAAUAGACAACAGACAAUAUCUCAAAUUGGCCCUAAAAAAUUUCAAAAGUUGUAAUUUGGUCC
This 1064-nucleotide long non-coding RNA is filed under the name Medicago truncatula (barrel medic). RNAcentral's name for it is "long non-coding RNA (MTRU_LNC002430)". The record is from RNAcentral. Lineage: Eukaryota; Viridiplantae; Streptophyta; Magnoliopsida; Fabales; Fabaceae.